UCCCCACAGGAUGUUACGUAAAAUGCUAGCCUCUGGUCUUGCUAACAGCACUUGAAGCUUACAGACAGACACCUGCUCACCUCAGAAGUACAUGUGAUAGAUUUGAUAGGAGCAAACAACAGUGAGCCAAAGACGCUCCGGUUCCAGGAAUCAGACACAACCGGUUGGAAUCCUGGGCCCAGCUCUCCCUACCUGAACUUAGGUUGGGUGCACUUUACAACUCUUCGGAUACGUUGACUCUUCCACUCACUAAGCAAGCCUGUUGGUACCCACCAUGGAGUCUCACUAGUGACAGAACCUCAGACGGUGACUCAUACAUGCACAAAAUAUAUUCUACCCCAGCACCUAUAUGCUCUGGGGUCUGAGCCUUGUCUGAAAACCUGGAAAUAAUCGUGACAUUUGAGGAAGCUUAAAGAUCGCCAUUGAUCUUUGUUAAGGAAGAAAGCUUUAAGCAUCCAUCCUUCCUGCUGAGCUGCAAGGAUCUGGUGGCAGUUAAGUGAUUGCUACAGUUGGCCCCCCUGGCCACCCUUCCCCUGCAAAGCGCCAGCUGAGGUUGAAGGAGAUUCAUCAUUUGCUACUUCCUCAGCCUACAUCAAACCCUAUUCAGGCCCUUUUCUGCCUAAUGAGGCCCGCAGAGCCACCAGCUGCCGCUGCUUAUCCUUGAAUCAACCAAAGUAGCAGCAGGUAGCACCCAUCUGCCACAAAUUUGGGAUUGCUAAGAAAUUGUUGAAAUGACAGCCCUUGCUGCUCUUCAGAAGACCAGAAUCCAGCUCAAAGGCCUCACAUCAGGUGGGUGGGAACCACCUGCAUCUCAGCCUCCAGGGACCUGGCACCCUCGUCUGCUGCUGAGGGAACUGCAGUACGUGGACUCAUCCACACACAAAUAUAGUUGUAUACCCACAGUAUUAAAAAUGAGAAAAGCUCCAUGAGCUGCUUCUGACACAAUUCUCCAGAUAACUGUUUUAGAACCAUGUUCUUGCUCUAGCCCAAAGGAAUUAACUCAAGCCACUAGCAUCUCAGAAGUAUGAUGUCCAAUCGGCUGGAAGAUGGAAAACCACAGAGUGGAGAAACAACUGUCGGUUGAACAUCACACUAUGAACAGGAAACUCAGAACAGCCUUGCGCGUGAUUUCAGCCGUGAUAGGGAGGGGCUCCGAGGAAAAGACUGAUCUGGCACUGUAAUGUUUUGACUCAUGAAGUUUUAUAAAAACAGCUCUUUCUAAAUCAAGUUCAGGCAGGCUCAGGGCACGACUUUCUA
Mus caroli (Ryukyu mouse) is the source of this 1257-nucleotide long non-coding RNA. RefSeq lists it as uncharacterized. The record is from RefSeq and is a predicted model, not a curated record. Lineage: Eukaryota; Metazoa; Chordata; Mammalia; Rodentia; Muridae.